This 500-nucleotide ribosomal RNA is filed under the name uncultured bacterium. Its description in RNAcentral is "partial 16S ribosomal RNA". It matches the Rfam family "Bacterial small subunit ribosomal RNA", at positions 30 to 523 of the family's 1533-position model. The record is from RNAcentral.
AUUGAACGCUGGCGGAAUGCUUUACACAUGCAAGCCGAACGGCAGCACGGACUUCGGUCUGGUGGCGAGUGGCGAACGGGUGAGUAAUGUAUCGGAACGUGCCCAGUCGUGGGGGAUAACGUAGUGAAAAUUACGCUAAUACCGCAUACGAUCUAUGGAUGAAAGCGGGGGAUCGCAAGACCUCGCGCGAUUGGAGCGGCCGAUAUCAGAUUAGGUAGUUGGUGGGGUAAAGGCCCACCAAGCCAACGACCUGUAGCUGGUCUGAGAGGACGACCAGCCACACUGGAACUGAGACACGGUCCAGACUCCUACGGGAGGCAGCAGUGGGGAAUUUUGGACAAUGGGCGAAAGCCUGAUCCAGCCAUUCCGCGUGCAGGAUGAAGGCCCUCGGGUUGUAAACUGCUUUUGUACAGAACGAAAAGGUUUCUACUAAUACUAGGAGCUCAUGACGGUACUGUAAGAAUAAGCACCGGCUAACUACGUGCCAGCAGCCGCGGUAA